UAAAUAGAUAUUGAAAAGCAAUUAUCACAUAUUCAACUGCAUUUGCAUUAAUUACCAUAAAUAACAAGUGAAAUUUAUACAUUUCACGGCCUAUCUGAAGUGUGAAAUGAGUGAGUUUUCAUAACUAAUGAAUGCCAACAUGUUAUUUCAUAUUGACAGGUUGUCUGUGAUUAUGCUGGGAAAAUAACUAGUAUCGUUGCAAGGUGGCCUGGACUGGUAGCAGCCACGAUGCCAGGAUCUUUUCUGAGUGUGCACUGAAUUGACAGCUUCAUGCUAGGGCAUAUGAAUAACAGUUGAUUCUUGGAGAUAGACUAUAGGGUAUCCAUGCCUUCUCUGCCUCAUCAGAAGCCAUUUCUUCAUUCAGAGGGUCGACCACAGAUGUGCUUUAAAGGCCAUCUGUACUAGUUCAG
Molecule: long non-coding RNA, 410 nt
Organism: Strongylocentrotus purpuratus (purple sea urchin)
Lineage: Eukaryota; Metazoa; Echinodermata; Echinoidea; Camarodonta; Strongylocentrotidae
Exons: 2
Source: RefSeq, a predicted model, not a curated record